This 394-nucleotide long non-coding RNA is filed under the name Linum usitatissimum (flax). Its description in RNAcentral is "long non-coding RNA (LUSI_LNC006177)". Lineage: Eukaryota; Viridiplantae; Streptophyta; Magnoliopsida; Malpighiales; Linaceae. The record is from RNAcentral.
UCAGGCCAGCUAGCCGAUGAGAAAUCGAAAACAAAGAAACCAGCAAUGCACGAAAGAUGAUGGGGAAAUAAUCACGAACGGUAACUGUGCAUGCAGUAUAUUAAGUAAGGCAUAUCGUUCAACAAAACCCAGUAAGCACCUUAGUCCUCCUGGGCCAUCAAUGGUAAUCAUUCAUGAUUAUAACUGUAAACUGCAAAUCAUCGUUUCAAUAGGUUCUCAAACAACAAUUUCAUCACAAGAUCUUGCUAUAUUAAACUGCAUCCAUGGUUGCAUCAACAAACCUCUGCUGCCUGAGAUCCAUUCAAAUCGCUAGGUGUGUUAACUGUGCUCUCAAAGUGAGUUAAUCACAAUGAACAAGAAAACAUCUUUUCUUGAAAUGAGAAUGUUUGCAAAU